UGGUCAAGUUAUUAAGGGUGCAGGGUGGAUGCCUUGGCACUAGGAGCCGAUGAAGGACGUGAUAAGCUGCGAUAAGCUUCGGGGAGUUGCACGUAAACUUUGAUCCGAAGAUUUCCGAAUGAGGAAACUCACUUAGAGUAAUGUCUAAGUAUCAUUAAGUGAAUACAUAGCUUAAUGAGGGGAACUCAGGGAACUGAAACAUCUAAGUACCUGAAGGAAGAGAAAGAAAUUCGAUUCCGUAAGUAGCGGCGAGCGAACGCGGAUUAGCCCAAACCAAUAAAGUUUUCUUUAUUGGGGUUGCGGACAUAUCAUAACGAAGAGGUAUCGUAAUUGAAGAGGUUUGGAAAGACCCACCACAGAAGGUAAUAGUCCUGUAUGUUAAACGAGAAGACUUCAGAUAUGAUCCAGAGUACCACGGGACACGUGAAACCCUGUGGGAAGCAGGAGGGACCACCCUCCAAGGCUAAAUACUACCUAGUGACCGAUAGCGUAUAG
This 495-nucleotide ribosomal RNA is filed under the name Clostridioides difficile. Its description in RNAcentral is "partial 23S ribosomal RNA". It matches the Rfam family "Bacterial large subunit ribosomal RNA", at positions 1 to 498 of the family's 2925-position model. Lineage: Bacteria; Bacillati; Bacillota; Clostridia; Peptostreptococcales; Peptostreptococcaceae. The record is from RNAcentral.